GAUGAACGCUGGCGGCGUGCCUAAUACAUGCAAGUCGAGCGAACAGAUAAGGAGCUUGCUCCUUUGACGUUAGCGGCGGACGGGUGAGUAACACGUGGGUAACCUACCUAUAAGACUGGGAUAACUUCGGGAAACCGGAGCUAAUACCGGAUAACAUUUGGAACCGCAUGGUUCUAAAGUGAAAGAUGGUUUUGCUAUCACUUAUAGAUGGACCCGCGCCGUAUUAGCUAGUUGGUAAGGUAACGGCUUACCAAGGCAACGAUACGUAGCCGACCUGAGAGGGUGAUCGGCCACACUGGAACUGAGACGCGGUCCAGACCCCUACGGGAGGCAGCAGUAGGGAAUCUUCCGCAAUGGGCGAAAGCCUGACGGAGCAACGCCGCGUGAGUGAUGAAGGGUUUCGGCUCGUAAAACUCUGUUAUUAGGGAAGAACAAACGUGUAAGUAACUGUGCACGUCUUGACGGUACCUAAUCAGAAAGCCACGGCUAACUACGUG
This 497-nucleotide ribosomal RNA is filed under the name uncultured bacterium. Its description in RNAcentral is "partial 16S ribosomal RNA". It matches the Rfam family "Bacterial small subunit ribosomal RNA", at positions 28 to 507 of the family's 1533-position model. The record is from RNAcentral.